GACAGAGGGUGCAAACGUUGCUCGGAAUUACUGGGCGUAAAGAGCUCGUAGGUGGUUUGUCGCGUUGUUCGUGAAAACUCACAGCUUAACUGUGGGCGUGCGGGCGAUACGGGCAGACUGGAGUACUGCAGGGGAGACUGGAAUUCCUGGUGUAGCGGUGGAAUGCGCAGAUAUCAGGAGGAACACCGGUGGCGAAGGCGGGUCUCUGGGCAGUAACUGACGCUGAGGAGCGAAAGCGUGGGGAGCGAACAGG
RNAcentral lists this ribosomal RNA (253 nucleotides) under uncultured bacterium. RNAcentral's name for it is "partial 16S ribosomal RNA". It matches the Rfam family "Bacterial small subunit ribosomal RNA", at positions 524 to 776 of the family's 1533-position model. The record is from RNAcentral.